AGAGUUUGAUCAUGGCUCAGGAUGAACGCUAGCGGGAGGCCUAACACAUGCAAGCUGAGCGGUAUUUGUCUUUCGGGACAGAGAGAGCGGCGUACGGGUGCGUAACACGUGUGCAACCUGCCUUUAUCAGGAGGAUAGCCUUUCGAAAGGAAGAUUAAUACUCCAUAAUAUAUUAAUUGGCAUCAAUUGAUAUUGAAAAUUCCGGUGGAUAAAGAUGGGCACGCGCAAGAUUAGAUAGUUGGUGAGGUAACGGCUCACCAAGUCGAUGAUCUUUAGGGGGCCUGAGAGGGUGAUCCCCCACACUGGUACUGAGACACGGACCAGACUCCUACGGGAGGCAGCAGUGAGAAAUAUUGGACAAUGGGUUAGCGCCUGAUCCAGCCAUCCCGCGUGAAGGAUUAAGGACCUAUGGUUUGUAAACUUCUUUUGUACAGGGAUAAACCUACCCUCGUGAGGGUAGCUGAAGGUACUGUACGAAUAAGCACCGGCUAACUCCGUG
Molecule: ribosomal RNA, 499 nt
Filed under: uncultured bacterium
Lineage: Bacteria
Description: bacterial SSU rRNA
Rfam family: Bacterial small subunit ribosomal RNA
Source: RNAcentral